GAGGAAUAUUGGGCAAUGGGCGGAAGCCUGACCCAGCCAUGCCGCGUGCAGGAAGACGGUCCUAUGGAUUGUAAACUGCUUUUAUACGGGAAGAAACACUCCCUCGUGAGGGAGCUUGACGGUACCGUAAGAAUAAGGAUCGGCUAACUCCGUGCCAGCAGCCGCGGUAAUACGGAGGAUCCAAGCGUUAUCCGGAAUCAUUGGGUUUAAAGGGUCCGUAGGCGGCCUUAUAAGUCAGUGGUGAAAUCCCAUCGCUCAACGAUGGAACUGCCAUUGAUACUGUAGGGCUUGAAUUAUUGUGAAGUAACUAGAAUAUGUAGUGUAGCGGUGAAAUGCUUAGAUAUUACAUGGAAUACCAAUUGCGAAGGCAGGUUACUAACAAUAUAUUGACGCUGAUGGACGAAAGCGUGGGGAGCGAAC
Molecule: ribosomal RNA, 420 nt
Filed under: uncultured bacterium
Lineage: Bacteria
Description: bacterial SSU rRNA
Rfam family: Bacterial small subunit ribosomal RNA
Source: RNAcentral